This is a long non-coding RNA of Cuculus canorus (common cuckoo), 3079 nucleotides long. RefSeq lists it as uncharacterized. The record is from RefSeq and is a predicted model, not a curated record. The transcript is spliced from 4 exons. NCBI's taxonomy places the organism in Eukaryota, Metazoa, Chordata, Aves, Cuculiformes, Cuculidae.
UGGAGCCAAACCCUCAUUUUUUCGAACACUGAAAGGGAAUUGAAGUGUUCACUAAGGUGGCUAGAUCAGAAUGAAGAAGAGUUUAUCUACAGGUGAUAAGCACCUAAAGAAAGACAAGCUGAGUCACCUCAAGGGAGGUGAUUCUCUUCCGGUACUCUGUUCUUGUGAAACCCCAUCUGGAAUACUGCAUUCUGUUCUGGAGUACUCAGCACAGGAAAGACAUGGAUCUAUUAGAGCAAGUCCAGAGGAGAGCCGUGAAGAUUACACAGAAGGCUGGGACACCUGACAUACAAGGCUUCAUCUACAAAGCUUUUCUGGUGAGUGAAGAGGAGAGAAAAAGCAUCUACUAUGCCUGUUUCUUUCUUGCUUGUAUUCAAGAAAUGUACAGUCCGUUCUCCAAACCUGAUGAUUUGGGGCAACUCUUAUUUGUCGAUGCAAUGAAAGCUGCAGGAUCCUGGAGGACUGGUUACUCAGAGGAUGCAUAUCAAGGCAACUGAAACCACUUCAGUUUUGGCCACAAAUACCAUUCUCAUUGCUGUCUGGGACAGGAUUUGACAGCUUACAUCAGGAAUGGGCGUGAAGUUGCCCAGAUGUAUCUGCUGAAGGAACCGUUUUCCUGGCGAUGACAGAAGUCUGGCAAGAUGCCUGAUAAAAAAAUUGAGGGAGGGUUUUUUCCCCUCUUUCAAAACAAAAAAUGGGGAGAAGAGAAACCUGUAUGGAAGAACCACACAUCUAUGAGAAUUCUCCACUUUUUUUCUUUCCCUAUUUUUUCUUCUUCUCAGAUAGAAACACUGAGAUCUUCAGGAAAGAUGGGAAAUCUUAACACUGCCAUCCCCAGAGCCUCAUCUAUCAAUCAGGUCUUUCCUUUGGCUUGAGAACAUUCAGUCUCUCUCCCUCUCUUCCUCAAUUCAUUGUAUCUUGUACAGGAACUCAAGACCAUGUUUAAUAUGUUUGGGUUUUACAUUGACAACAUAAAGGUCAACAUUUAAGUUAGGUUACGUAAUCAGAUCAGUCCCCUGUGACUAACCACAGAGCAAAAUAAUCCCCAUUUAAGUGUCCUGUUCUUUCACAUCCAUCCUUCUGAACAGUAAUGUCCUAUUAUUUCUUCCUUCCCUCUGCCCUGGAAUUAUUUCAGGGCUGAUCUCAGGUUUAUAUGAAGCUGGGAUCAAAUUUUCUAAACACUUAAGCAACACUUCCCUCAUAAAAAGCUGACUUUUUUUUAAAUGCUAUUGCAAAGCAAAAGGAUGAUGCAGAAGGUUUCUCAGCAGGGGUUAGGUAUACUGACAUAGUUUGCACAUCUAUGUAGCAAAUAUUCCCCUGUGAGUAUUGAAAUCUAUGGGAGCCAUGAGGACCAAACUUGACCACCAUCCCUGGUGUUGUAAGAAAGAGAAAGGAAUAAAUGUAAUUGUAGGGUCUAGCUUCACACUCAGUUAGAAACAUUUCUGAUUUUGGAAAUGUCAAACUCAUAGUUGGUGGAUGAGAAGAUCAACAGGAAAGCCAACCAUAUCCUGGGCUGAAUUAAAAGAAGUAUGGCCAGCAGAUUGAGGGAGGGGAUUCUGCCCAUCUACUCUGCUCUGGUGAGACCACACCUGGAGUCCUGCAUUCAGUUCUGGAGUCCUCAGCACAAGAAGGACAUGGAUCUGUUCGAGCAGUCUGGAGAAGGCCAUGAAGAUGAUCAUAGGGCUGGAGCACCUCCUGUAUGAGGACAGACUGAGAGAUCUGGGCUUGUUCAGCCUGGAGAAGAGAAGGCUCCAGGGAGACCUUAGAGCAGCUUCCAGUACUUAAAGGAAGCUCACAGGAAAGUUGGAGAGGGUCUCUUUAUUAUGGAGUUCAGGAACAGGAUGAGGGGGAAUGGUUUUAAGCUGAAAGAGGGGAGAUUUAGAUUAAAUAUUUGGAAGAAAUAUUUUACUGUGGGGGUGAUGAGGCACCGGCACAGGCUGCUCAGAGAAGUCAUGGAUGACUCCUCUCUAGAAGUGUCCAAAGCCAAGUUUGAUGAGGCUUUAAGCAACCUGAUCCAGUAGAAGUUGCCCCUGCCUGUGGCAGGGGGGUUGGAACUAGGUGGUCCCUUCCAAACCGAACUGGAAAAUGUUUUUUGAGAGAAGUCACAAUAGGACAUCAUUGCAGUUACAAGAAACUACUUUCUUUCGUAUGCAUGAAGUAUAAAACCACGGCAAACUGUCUGAAGGUAAUGUUGGAGUUUUACCCCAAAUUUUUGCAAUAAGUCCUCGUUUUAGAGUUAAGCUAUUGCACACUUGCAGGAAAGACUUCGAACAGCAAGGGAAAUGUUGCUAUUGACUAUAUAAACAUAUCGUGCGGUAUUGUACCCUCAGUGAGUACCUGAAAGAGAUGAGCUGUCUGCUUUCCUUAUUUUUUACAUAUUUUCCCUGAAAUGGUUUAUUGCAUUCCACUGUUGGAAGAAGGACAGUGGACUAUUAAGGAUAAUUUUUCCCAUUCUUAUGUUCUUAAGCACUUUGAUGAAUUAGGACAUGGUCUUGUGAACAGAGGAGGUGAUUGGAAAGCUCGAGAAUUGGGAUUUAUGCCCUGAAUGGCACAAACAAAGUCAGUUCCAUGAUCUACCCAAAUCUCCUAAUUUUUGACAGGUAGAAAGUGUAGAAACAUUCCCUUAGUUUAGGGAAUCACAUAUGUAAAGAGAUGCAGGUCUGAAAUUCAGCACAUUGUAGCUGAUGGCAUCUUCAUGUGAAAGUCUGUGAGCAGCUGUUCAAGACUGUACGAUACUGGAUUUUAUUAAUGUAUACAAAGCAUAUAAAAAAGGUUACUGCAUUUUAUCAACUGCUUCUUGGAUGAAAUUUAAAUGAGAAGAUGUGAGACUUGUUGAAGAAUCUGUGGACAGGGUGUGCCCCCUUCAGCUGCAAGGCAUGUAACACUGGGUUUCAUCCGUUAUUCCCUGCUGUACAGCAUGCUGAUUUAUCAUAAGCAGUGGGGAGAGAAACAUUUGUUGACUAACUAUAAACUUAACAAAAAGUGAUGCAUUCAGCAGCCCAUUACUGUAAUGCUGUAACAGGACUGGAGGAUAUAGAGAAGGAUUAAGCAUUCUGAAAGAGAAACAUAAAACAAUAUG